This 1380-nucleotide ribosomal RNA is filed under the name uncultured organism. RNAcentral describes it as "bacterial SSU rRNA". It matches the Rfam family "Bacterial small subunit ribosomal RNA", at positions 53 to 1412 of the family's 1533-position model. The record is from RNAcentral.
ACAUGCAAGUCGAACGAGAAUCCCAGUGCUUGCAUUGGGAGGAGAGUGGCGAACGGGUGAGUAACACGUGGAUAAUCUGCCUUCAGGAUGGGGAUAACGAUUCGAAAGGGUAGCUAAUACCGAAUAAGAUAGCAGCUGUGCAGGCAGCAGCUAUUAAAGGAGGGGACCUUCGGGCCUUCCGCCUGAAGAUGAGUCCGCGUCCCAUUAGCUAGUUGGCAGGGUAAUGGCCUACCAAGGCUGUGAUGGGUAGCCGGCCUGAGAGGGUGAUCGGCCACAUUGGGACUGAGAUACGGCCCAAACUCCUACGGGAGGCAGCAGUUAAGAAUCUUGCGCAAUGGGCGAAAGCCUGACGCAGCGACGCCGCGUGGACGAUGAAGGCCUUAGGGUUGUAAAGUCCAUUAAGCAGGGAAGAAUAAACAUGUUAUAACAUGGCAUGUGAUGACGGUACCUGCUGAAAGCCUCGGCUAACUACGUGCCAGCAGCCGCGGUAACACGUAUGAGGUGAGCGUUGUUCGGAAUUAUUGGGCGUAAAGGGCGUGUAGGCGGGGAACUAAGUUAGAUGUGAAAGCCAUGGGCUCAACCCGUGAAUUGCAUCUAAUACUGGUUCUCUUGAGUUCGGGAGAGGUGAGCGGAAUUCCUGGUGUAGCGGUGAAAUGCGUAGAUAUCGGGAAGAACACCAGUGGCGAAGGCGGCUCACUGGCCUAGAACUGACGCUAAGGCGCGAAAGCGUGGGGAGCGAACGGGAUUAGAUACCCCGGUAGUCCAAGCCGUAAACGUUGCAUACUAGUGUUAAGUGGAUUUAUUCAUUAGUGCCGAAAGCUAACGCAUUAAGUAUACCUCCUUGGGAGUACACUCGCAAGGGUGAAAUUCAAAGAAAUUGACGGGGCCCGCACAAGCGUUGGAUCAUGUGGUGUAAUUCGAUUGAUACGCGAAGAACCUAACCUGGGCUUGAACUGUACUUGACAGGUGUAGAGAUACACCUUCCUUCGGGCAGGUAUAGAGUUGCUGCAUGGUUGUCGUCAGCUCGUGUCGUGAGAUGUUGGGUUAAGUUCCCGCAACGAGCGCAACCCUGUACUCCUUGUUGCUAACAGUUUAAUCUGAGCACUCUAGGGGGACUGCCGGUUAUAAACCGGAGGAAGGUGAGGAUGACGUCCAAUCAGCACGGGCCUUUAUGUCCAGGGCUACACACGUGAUACAAUGGUCGGUACAAAGAGCUGCGAGCCCGCGAGGUGGAGCUAAUCUCAAAAAACCGGCCUCAGUUCGGAUUGCAGUCUGCAACUCGACUGCAUGAAGGUGGAAUCGCUAGUAAUCGCAGAUCAGCACGCUGCGCUGAAUACGUUCCCGGGCAUUGUACACACCGCCCGUCACACCAUCCGAGUU